This is a long non-coding RNA of Vidua chalybeata, 244 nucleotides long. RefSeq lists it as uncharacterized. Lineage: Eukaryota; Metazoa; Chordata; Aves; Passeriformes; Viduidae. The transcript has 2 exons. The record is from RefSeq and is a predicted model, not a curated record.
AGCAGCCAGCUCUCCAGGAGCCCCUCUGGCCUGUCCCCAGGGCUUGUGUUCCCCAAGGUACUCCCAAAACCCCUGGGGUUUGGGCUGUUGGUGAGAGCAGGCCAGCAAAUGCCAUGCUGCAUUUAUGGGACAAAGGAAAAGCAGCAGCAAAAACCCUUCUUUUCUUCUGGAUUUGUGGAAAACAGGAAGGAGAGAGGCUGAGGUCCAGCACAGUGAGAUAUAAAUCUUUGAUGCUGCAAGAUUA